RNAcentral lists this ribosomal RNA (1437 nucleotides) under human gut metagenome. RNAcentral describes it as "bacterial LSU rRNA". It matches the Rfam family "Bacterial large subunit ribosomal RNA", at positions 826 to 2349 of the family's 2925-position model. The record is from RNAcentral.
AUUCCAAUCGAACUCGGAGAUAGCUGGUUCUCCCCGAAAUAGCUUUAGGGCUAGCCUCAUAUUAGAUACCCGGAGGUAAAGCACUGAAUGGCCUAGCGCCCGAGAGGGUAGCGAAGCCUAUCAAACUAAGAAUGCCGGAGUAUUGAUGUAUGGGAGUCAGACAGUGUGAGAUAAAUCUCAUUGUCAAAAGGGAAACAGCCCAGAUCUACAGCUAAGGUCCCAAAUUGUAUCUAAGUGGAAAACGAUGUGGAAAUACGCAGACAACCAGGAUGUUGGCUCAGAAGCAGCCACUCAUUUAAAGAGUGCGUAAUAGCUCACUGGUCGAGCGUCUCUGCGCGGAAAAUUUAACGGGGCUAAGAUACAAACCGAAGCUUAGGCUGCAUCGUAAGAUGCGGGGUAGGGGAGCGUUGUGUAAGCGGAGAAACAGUAGCGUAAGCGGCUGUGGAGUUUACAGAAGUGAGAAUGCCGGAAUGAGUAGCGCGAAUGUGGUGAGAAUCCACAUGGCCGGAAACCUCAGGUUUUUGGAGGAAGGUUCGUCCGCUCCAAGUUAGGCGGGAGCUAAGGUCAGGCCGAAAGGCGUAGCCGAUGCACAGACGGUAGAGAUUCCGUCCCCACCGAAAGAUUUAAGCACAGGGACACUUUUUGAAGGUCGGAGCCAGGUGUUGGUUCUGGUAGUGAUCGAGGGAAAUAUAGUACCGAAGUCCGGCUGGAAGAGAGGCGAGAAAAGCUGUGUGUAUAUCUAAGGUGCCCGUACCGCAAACCGACACAGGUAGGUAGGAAGAAGAUUCUAAGGCCAACGGGAGAAGGGUUGUUAAGGAACUCGGCAAAUUGACCCCGUAACUUCGGGAGAAGGGGUGCUCCAGAGAUGGAGCCGCAGAGAAUCGGCCCAAGCAACUGUUUACCAAAAACACAGGUUUGUGCUAAAUCGAAAGAUGACGUAUACGAGCUGACGCCUGCCCGGUGCUGGAAGGUUAAAAGGAGAUGUGCAAGCAUUGAAUUGAAGCCCCAGUGAACGGCGGCCGUAACUAUAACGGUCCUAAGGUAGCGAAAUUCCUUGUCAGGUAAGUUCUGACCCGCAUGAAAGGCGUAAUGAUUUGGGCACUGUCUCAACAGCCCGCCCGGCGAAAUUGUAGUACCGGUGAAGAUGCCGGUUACCCGCGACAAGACGGAAAGACCCCAUGGAGCUUUACUGUAGCCUAAUAUUGGGUUUCGAUGUUGCAUGCACAGGAUAGAUGGGACACAGGGAAGCAGGUGCUUUGGCGCUUGUGGAGUGGCCGUUGGGAUACCAUCCUUGCGAUAUUGGAAUUCUAACCUGCGCCUUUGAAUCAAGGCGGGGGACAUUGUUAGGUGGGCAGUUUGACUGGGGCGGUCGCCUCCUAAAGAGUAACGGAGGCGUUCAAAGGUUCGCUCAGCUUGAACGGAAAUCAAGCAAAAGAG